UCAUGAAAGACCUACUAAUUUUGCAUGUAAGAAUUACUGCUUCUUUUGUAUUAAACAUGGGAAUUAGGUCUAAGUAAAAAAUAUACUAUUUAAAGCAAUAAUACAUGUUAGCAACAAAAACAAUAUUUCAACUUUACAGCUUCGCAUAUAGCAAACAAUCUUAUUUUCCAGGUUAAAAAACUAACUAAAUUAUAAAUAUAAUAUAACGAAGACCUCCAAUUAUUUCAAUCUCAACCGCAUAUUUUUGUACUUGAUCACAAUCCACAAGAGCAAGAUUUGCAAUUCCUGUCUAUAAAAUCAAGAACCAUAAUGAGAAGUUGAGGAUGAACAAAGGAAAGAGUUAAUUAAUAAACUAAACAAACAAUCACCAAAAGAGAAACAACAAGACACCAAGAAUAAAACCAUUUAGUAAGCAAAUUAACACCAUAGAAUUGCAACAUCCUAGCCAUCCAAAAAUAUGCAGUUCCAAACAAAAAAAAGCCGCCGAAUGAUACACACUCACAGUACUUUGAAAAAAUAAAUAAAUAAAUAAAACACAGACUGAAACAAAUCUAUUGGGUACCACUACCCAAAACGACAAUGCGACACGGUUUACUACGGACCAUGAUUGCCACUUGCAACAUAACUACUUCCUGCUCAUUUAAAAAGAAAAAGGAGAUCUUGGCUUUCCAUUAUCAUUUUUUUUGUUUUCCCUUUUCAUUUUUGUUUUUAUUUCUAAAAUCUCUUUCUGGUAAUAAAACACGCACGCUUAGAACCACAAGACAAAAUCCGCACUCCCGGCCUCAGCCGUAACGCGUCUUUAUAUAUUUUUUUUAAUUAUUUUUUUUUCGGCAGUUUACAGUUUGGAUACUCAUAGCCUGUAAGAUUGCUCCUUUAUUAUCCUAUUUCAAGCGCUCAUUAUUAAAUAAUUCGUCACCUUCCACAUCGGUAGGCAUCCGAAAGAAAAACACUUACUUUCCUGUCUUUGUUACUGCACUUCCAAAUCUUCAGCUUUCGUUUCUUUUCCCUGUUUCUUGGUUCACCAAUUUGUUCUUAUCCUGCUGCUCUCUUGUUGAUUUGAGCGUCUCCUGGGUGCUAUUUGAAACAAUGGGUACCAAUCUCU
This 1102-nucleotide long non-coding RNA is filed under the name Manihot esculenta (cassava). Its description in RNAcentral is "long non-coding RNA (MESC_LNC001887)". Lineage: Eukaryota; Viridiplantae; Streptophyta; Magnoliopsida; Malpighiales; Euphorbiaceae. The record is from RNAcentral.